UACGAAGGGUGCAAGCGUUAAUCGGAAUUACUGGGCGUAAAGCGUGCGUAGGCGGUUCGUUAAGUCCGUUGUGAAAGCCCUGGGCUCAACCUGGGAAUGGCGCUGGAUACUGACGAGCUCGAGUGCGGUAGAGGAGGGUGGAAUUCCCGGUGUAGCGGUGAAAUGCGUAGAGAUCGGGAGGAACAUCAGUGGCGAAGGCGGCCCUCUGGACCAGCACUGACGCUGAGGCACGAAAGCGUGGGGAGCAAACAGG
RNAcentral lists this ribosomal RNA (253 nucleotides) under uncultured bacterium. Its description in RNAcentral is "partial 16S ribosomal RNA". It matches the Rfam family "Bacterial small subunit ribosomal RNA", at positions 524 to 776 of the family's 1533-position model. The record is from RNAcentral.